RNAcentral lists this ribosomal RNA (253 nucleotides) under uncultured bacterium. Its description in RNAcentral is "partial 16S ribosomal RNA". It matches the Rfam family "Bacterial small subunit ribosomal RNA", at positions 524 to 776 of the family's 1533-position model. The record is from RNAcentral.
UACGGGGGGGGCAAGCGUUGUUCGGAAUUACUGGGCGUAAAGGGCUCGUAGGCGGCCAACUAAGUCAGACGUGAAAUCCCUCGGCUUAACCGGGGAACUGCGUCUGAUACUGGAUGGCUCGAGUUUGGGAGAGGGAUGCGGAAUUCCAGGUGUAGCGGUGAAAUGCGUAGAUAUCCAGGGGAACGCCGGUGGUGAAAACGGGUCGCUGGGCCUUUCCUGACGCUGAGGUGCGAAAGCCAGGGGAGCGAACGGG